Molecule: ribosomal RNA, 1740 nt
Filed under: marine metagenome
Description: bacterial LSU rRNA
Rfam family: Bacterial large subunit ribosomal RNA
Source: RNAcentral
CCGAUAGUGAACUAGUACCGUGAGGGAAAGGUGAAAAGUACCCCUUUGAGGGGAGUGAAAUAGUACCUGAAACCGUGUGCCUACAAGGAGUGGGAGCCUCUUCGGAGGUGACCGCGUGCCUUUUGCUUAAUGAGUCUACGAGUUAGUGUCUGUGGCAAGCUUAAGCGCUUUUGGUGCGUAGGCGUAGCGAAAGCGAGUCCGAAUAGGGCGACCAUAGUCGCAGGCGCUAGACCCGAAACGGAGGUGACCUACCCAUGGCCAGGUUGAAGCAACGGUAAAACGUUGUGGAGGACCGAACCGGUACAGGUUGAAAACUGUUCGGAUGAGCUGUGGGUCGGAGUGAAAGGCUAAUCAAACCCCGUGAUAGCUGGUUCUCCUCGAAAUGCAUUUAGGUGCAGCGUCGCGUGCUUACCCUCGGGGGUAGAGCACUGAAUGAGCUAGGGCCCAUACCAGGGUACCAAACUCAACUAAACUCCGAAUACCGGGGGGUGGAACGCGGCAGUGAGACUGCGGGGGAUAAGCUUCGUAGUCGAAAGGGAAACAGCCCAGAUCAGCAGCUAAGGUGCCUAAAUAGUGCUCAGUGGAAAGGAGGUGGGAUUUCAUAGACAGUGAGGAUGUUGGCUUAGAAGCAGCCACCAUUUAAACAAAGCGUAACAGCUGACUCAUCGAGAGAUCCUGCGCCGAAAAUGAUUGGCGAUAAGCACUAUACCGAAGCUCUGGAUGCACAGCUUGCUGUGCGUGGUAGAGGAGCGUUCUCAACACCUUGAAGCCUUAAGGCGACUGAUGGUGGAGCGUUGAGAAGUGAGUAUGUAGACAUGAGUAACGAUAAGCCAGGUGAGAUCCCUGGCCGCCGUAAACCCAAGGUUUCCUGGGCCAUGCUGGUCAUCCCAGGGUUAGUCGGGACCUAAGCCGAGGCCGAUGGGCGUAGGCGAUGGACUAAAGAGGUUAAUAUUCCUCGACUUCCGAAACUUAAACUAGAAGGACGCAUAUUGAAUGACGAUUAUCUUAUUGAAUUGGGAGGCGAUGGUUUAUCCUGACCCGUAUCGUUUGAAAAUGUGCCAAGAAAAGUUCUAGUGUAUGCUAAGGAACCCGUACCGUAAACCGACACAGGUGGGUGGGUAGAAUAUACUAAGGCGCAAGAGUGAAACCCUGUUAAGGAACUCGGCAAUCUAGCCCCGUAACUUCGGGAGAAGGGGUCCCGGGACUUGUCCCGGGCGCAGUGAAAGGGCCCAUCCGACUGUUUAGCAAAAACACAGCAUUCUGCGAACACGCAAGUGGAAGUAUAGGAUGUGACACGUGACCAAUGCCAAAAGAUUAAGGGGAGGUGUUAGCCUUCGGGCGAAGCUCUGAUCCUAAGUCCUGGUGAAUGUCGGCCGUAACUAUAACGGUCCUAAGGUAGCGAAAUUCCUUGUCGGGUAAGUUCCGACCUGCACGAAUCGUGCAACGAGAUGGGCGCUGUCUCAACAGGGAGCUCAGUGAAAUUGUAUCCGCGGUGAAGAUGCCGCGUACCCGCAGAAGGACGGAAAGACCCUAUAGACCUUAACUGUAAGCUGUCACUGGUUUCUCGAUUUUAAUGCUCAGCAUAAGUGGGAGGCUUUGAACCAUUCCUCUAGGGGAGUGGGGAGCCAUCAGUGAGAUACCACCCUUUAGCAUUGGGGAAUCUAACCUCUAGCCUUUAUCAGGCAGAGGGACCAUGGCAGCCGGUCAGUUUGACUGGGGCGGUCUCCUCCUAAAGAGUAA